GACGAACGCUGGCGGCGUGCUUAACACAUGCAAGUCGAACGGAAAGGCCCUGCUUGCAGGGUACUCGAGUGGCGAACGGGUGAGUAACACGUGGGUGAUCUGCCCUGCACUUCGGGAUAAGCCUGGGAAACUGGGUCUAAUACCGGAUAGGAGCCAUUUUUAGUGUGAUGGUUGGAAAGUUUUUUCUGUGUAGGAUGAGCUCGCGGCCUAUCAGCUUGUUGGUGGGGUAAUGGCCUACCAAGGCGGCGACGGGUAGCCGGCCUGAGAGGGUGGACGGCCACAUUGGGACUGAGAUACGGCCCAGACUCCUACGGGAGGCAGCAGUGGGGAAUAUUGCACAAUGGGCGCAAGCCUGAUGCAGCGACGCCGCGUGGGGGAUGACGGCCUUCGGGUUGUAAACUCCUUUCGCUAGGGACGAAGCUUUUUGUGACGGUACCUAGAGAAGAAGCACCGGCUAACUACGUG
Molecule: ribosomal RNA, 465 nt
Filed under: uncultured bacterium
Lineage: Bacteria
Description: partial 16S ribosomal RNA
Rfam family: Bacterial small subunit ribosomal RNA
Source: RNAcentral